GCCUCCUUAGCUCAGCUGGUAGAGCAACUGACUUGUAAUCAGUAGGUCGCUGGUUCGAUUCCGGCAGGGGGCUCCA
RNAcentral lists this transfer RNA (76 nucleotides) under Cyclobacteriaceae bacterium. RNAcentral's name for it is "tRNA-Thr". It matches the Rfam family "tRNA". From Rfam's summary of the family: Transfer RNA (tRNA) molecules are approximately 80 nucleotides in length. Their secondary structure includes four short double-helical elements and three loops (D, anti-codon, and T loops). The record is from RNAcentral. Lineage: Bacteria; Pseudomonadati; Bacteroidota; Cytophagia; Cytophagales; Cyclobacteriaceae.